Molecule: ribosomal RNA, 301 nt
Filed under: uncultured bacterium
Lineage: Bacteria
Description: partial 16S ribosomal RNA
Rfam family: Bacterial small subunit ribosomal RNA
Source: RNAcentral
CAGUCGCCACGGUAAUACGUAGGUGGCAAGCGUUGUCCGGAAUUAUUGGGCGUAAAGGGCUCGCAGGCGGUUUCUUAAGUCUGAUGUGGAAGCCCCCGGCUCAACCGGGGAGGGUCAUUGGAAACUGGGAAACUUGAGUGCAGAAGAGGAGAGUGGAAUUCCACGUGUAGCGGUGAAAUGCGUAGAGAUGUGGAGGAACACCAGUGGCGAAGGCGACUCUCUGGUCUGUAACUGACGCUGAGGAGCGAAAGCGUGGGGAGCGAACAGGAUUAGAUACCCGAGUAGUCCCUGUCUCUUAUAC